RNAcentral lists this ribosomal RNA (253 nucleotides) under uncultured bacterium. Its description in RNAcentral is "partial 16S ribosomal RNA". It matches the Rfam family "Bacterial small subunit ribosomal RNA", at positions 524 to 776 of the family's 1533-position model. The record is from RNAcentral.
UACGUAGGGUCCAAGCGUUAAUCGGAAUUACUGGGCGUAAAGCGUGCGCAAGCGGUUGUGCAAGACCGAUGUGAAAUCCCCGAGCUUAACUUGGGAAUUGCAUUGGUGACUGCACGGCUAGAGUGUGUCAGAGGGGGGUAGAAUUCCACGUGUAGCAGUGAAAUGCGUAGAGAUGUGGAGGAAUACCGAUGGCGAAGGCAGCCCCCUGGGAUAACACUGACGCUCAUGCACGAAAGCAUGGGGAGCAAACAGG